RNAcentral lists this ribosomal RNA (376 nucleotides) under uncultured bacterium. RNAcentral describes it as "bacterial SSU rRNA". It matches the Rfam family "Bacterial small subunit ribosomal RNA", at positions 527 to 896 of the family's 1533-position model. The record is from RNAcentral.
AGAGGAGCCAAGCGUUGUCCGGAUUGACUGGGCGUAAAGCGCACGCAGGCGGAUGCGCGCGUGGGGUGUGAAAUCUGGCCGCUUAACGGCCAGGCGCCAUCCCAUACGGCGCGUCUGGAGUGAUGCAGAGGUCGAUGGAAUUGCCGGUGUAGUGGUGAAAUGCGUAGAGAUCGGCAGGAACACCCAGGGGGAAACCAGUCGACUGGGCAUCUACUGACGCUGAGGUGCGAGAGCGUGGGGAGCGAACCGGAUUAGAUACCCGGGUAGUCCACGCCGUAAACGAUGGCCACUCGGCCUUUGGUGGCGGAAUCUCCGUCGCUGGGGGCCUUAGCUAACGCGGGAAGUGGCCCGCCUGGGAACUACGAGCGCAAGCUUA